UUAUAUUUUUGUUUAUGUAAAUGAAAAAUGUAAAGUUGUGUGUAGUAGUGAGACAAAAGCCUUUCAUACAUUUAUUUAAGGUUGUCUGUUGUCUGUUUGAAGGUGUGUCUGCAAAGCUCUGAAACGUUUUGUCUUUUUUUAUCUCUUCUGCUCUGGAUAAGGUGGACUUCUCUCCUCUGACCUGUUACCAAGACAGCUGGGUGUGUAGGAAACUGGAACUAAGUCACUGAAGAAGUAAACCGAUGAAAACCGAUUUGGAUUGUCUGAGAGAUCUGUAGGACACAAGUAAGAGGAGAAGAAUGCUGCUCAGCUGGGUCGGCGUCGGCCACACUACUUAUUCAAGAAGCCCUUGGAUAUCAUCGGCAUGUAUGAAGCACAGUCAUUCCGGUAGUCCGUUCCUCGAUGGACGUGAUGACCUGGCACCAAAACCGCUUAAUGUGUAUGGAGCUGUGUCUGCAUCGAGGGAAGAACGCGGCAC
Molecule: long non-coding RNA, 478 nt
Organism: Engraulis encrasicolus (European anchovy)
Lineage: Eukaryota; Metazoa; Chordata; Actinopteri; Clupeiformes; Engraulidae
Exons: 3
Source: RefSeq, a predicted model, not a curated record